This is a non-coding RNA of Plutella xylostella (diamondback moth), 763 nucleotides long. The record is from RefSeq and is a predicted model, not a curated record. NCBI's taxonomy places the organism in Eukaryota, Metazoa, Arthropoda, Insecta, Lepidoptera, Plutellidae.
UUAGCAUUAGGCCUAACCUACGUAUUCGAUGAUGAAUUGAUGACGCAUCAUGAUGCUAUGAACUACUAAUGUAUCAAUAAACAUCAAAAUCAACUGUACCGUAUGACAACUUACUUUGAAAUAAUAAUUACAUUUAUAAUAAUAUAUUGAUCCAGUAGCUAGUUAAAAUAAUUUUAUUUAUCAGUGUACCUAUGUAAAUAAAAGUUACUGAGCCAAAAUGUAUUUAUUUUGUUCAAAUCCACAUUAGAAACUACAUCAUCAUAUUAAAUUAUUUUUAUUUUAUUGCGAUGAGUGUUGUUGCACCCAAGUGACCAACAGAUGGCGAUUGGAAUUUCUAUAGUCUCUUUCCUAGAAUAACAAAUUACCUAUAUGCUUUCUAAAGGCAGAUAUCCACUGCUGACUAAAUCAUCUUGGAAAACAACAAAACUUUAUAAAACUAAUAAUAUUAAUCAUAAAAGUAUUAUUUCUCAUAUAAGUCUUUGAGUAUUCUCAUAAUAAUUCAUUAAAAAUCAAGUUAUUACAUAAUUAUAGGAAAUUAGAAAAUCUCAGUUGGUAAUUAUUUAUAAUUAAGUAGUAAUCUAGUAGUCUUUAAAAACUAACAAAUUACCUAUAAUGUAGGGCCUUAUAAUCACAGUUAGUUUUUACAGAUAUAUGACGCUAAUCUCGUCAUUUUAAGUGUGGAUGCAAGUCAUGCAAGUCAUGGCGUGCAAGUGUGUAGCCCACACGACUCGGCGAUUUGGAAUACUCAGCCGCUGAAAGGCUC